CUGGCUUCCCAGUCUAUGAUUCACAGGUGUGUGAUUCAGCAGGUGUAUAGAGCGAGUGGAAAAAUGAGGCACCUCUUGGCUCAUGGAGCCUCUCUCAGGAGUAAAGCCAUGGAUGCAGCAAGUGCUAUGAGAAUAGAUCCCUCGGGACAGGAUGAUGACAGAGUAUGUGAAGCCAGAGUCUCUCAGCUCUGUCAUUCAAUUGCCCGCACUUUUAGUAGUUGUCAGCAGGAGAAAUUUGUCCAAAUAAUCUAGUCAACCUUUACCAAACUGGAAAUCAUGAUAUUUCUUCAAGAACACUCAUCAGCCCAGCUACCCCACCCUGACUGUGCUCAGACUCUCAGCUGCUCGUCUGGAGAAACUUUUACAAGAAGGUCUUCCUGGACAGCAGACUCUUCUUCGAAGGAUAACACCUACUAACGUACUGUUAGCAUCCCUACUCUGCUGUGAUGAUAAUGGGAAUCUCUCUUCUGCUUUAUUUUAAAAAGCAAAGGAAAUAAAACAUGU
This is a long non-coding RNA of Talpa occidentalis (Iberian mole), 504 nucleotides long. RefSeq lists it as uncharacterized. The transcript is spliced from 3 exons. The record is from RefSeq and is a predicted model, not a curated record. Lineage: Eukaryota; Metazoa; Chordata; Mammalia; Eulipotyphla; Talpidae.